CGAUUAGAGUUUGAUCAUGGCUCAGGACGAACGCUGGCGGCGUGCUUAACACAUGCAAGUCGAGCGAUGAAGCUCCUUCGGGAGUGGAUUAGCGGCGGACGGGUGAGUAACACGUGGGUAACCUGCCUCAUAGAGGGGAAUAGCCUUUCGAAAGGAAGAUUAAUACCGCRUAAGAWUGKAGUGCCGCAUGGUACAGCAAUUAAAGGAGUAWUCCGCUAUGAGAUGGACCCGCGUCGCAUUAGCUAGUUGGUGAGGUAMSGGCUCACCAAGGCAACGAUGCGUAGCCGACCUGAGAGGGUGAUCGGCCACAUUGGGACUGAGACACGGCCCAGACUCCUACGGGAGGCAGCAGUGGGGAAUAUUGCACAAUGGGGGAAACCCUGAUGCAGCAACGCCGCGUGAGUGAUGACGGUCUUCGGAUUGUAAAGCUCUGUCUUCAGGGACGAUAAUGACGGUACCUGAGGAGGAAGCCACGGCUAACUACGUGCCAGCAGCCGCGGUAAUACGUAGGUGGCAAGCGUUGUCCGGAUUUACUGGGCGUAAAGGGAGCGUAGGUGGAUAUUUAAGUGGGAUGUGAAAUACUCGGGCUUAACUUGGGUGCUGCAUUCCAAACUGGAUAUCUAGAGUGCAGGAGAGGAAAGUAGAAUUCCUAGUGUAGCGGUGAAAUGCGUAGAGAUUAGGAAGAAUACCAGUGGCGAAGGCGACUUUCUGGACUGUAACUGACACUGAGGCUCGAAAGCGUGGGGAGCAAACAGGAWUAGAUACCCUGGUAGUYCACGCCGUAAACGAUGAAUACUAGAUGUGGGGGUUGUCAUGACCUCCGUGCCGCCGCAAACGCAUUAAGUAUUCCGCCUGGGGAGUACGGUCGCAAGAUUAAAACUCAAAGGAAUUGACGG
RNAcentral lists this ribosomal RNA (896 nucleotides) under uncultured Clostridium sp. RNAcentral's name for it is "bacterial SSU rRNA". It matches the Rfam family "Bacterial small subunit ribosomal RNA", at positions 1 to 916 of the family's 1533-position model. Lineage: Bacteria; Bacillati; Bacillota; Clostridia; Eubacteriales; Clostridiaceae. The record is from RNAcentral.